GUUCAAUAACUUACCGUCAUUAAGCGUUCAAUUUUCAUCGAUCUGUAAGCCAUCAGCUAAGAAACCAGUAUUUUUUUAGUGAAGUGUAAUUUUGAAUUGUUGUAUUAUGCAGUAAUGGAUACACUAUUUAUUUAUUUGAACACAUAAAUAUUGGUUUAAAAGGGCACCGAAUACAUAUGCAUCACACAAGUCAAUUGAUUUGUGUGUGAGCUGUGAUACUACCCGGGUGGUCAGACCGGAUGUUUUCAUUGAUCAGGAGCGAAAGUCAGAGUUUCGAAGACGACCAUAUACCCUCGUAGUUCUGACCAUAAACGCUGCAAACUGACGAUCCGCGUUUGUUCUAUAAUUGACAUCGCGGGCAGUCCCCGGGAAACCUUUAAGUCUUUGGGCUC
Molecule: non-coding RNA, 392 nt
Filed under: Schistosoma haematobium
Lineage: Eukaryota; Metazoa; Platyhelminthes; Trematoda; Strigeidida; Schistosomatidae
Description: Eukaryotic small subunit ribosomal RNA
Rfam family: Eukaryotic small subunit ribosomal RNA
Source: Rfam by way of RNAcentral